Molecule: ribosomal RNA, 119 nt
Filed under: Vibrio chagasii
Lineage: Bacteria; Pseudomonadati; Pseudomonadota; Gammaproteobacteria; Vibrionales; Vibrionaceae
Description: partial 16S ribosomal RNA
Rfam family: Bacterial small subunit ribosomal RNA
Source: RNAcentral
UUAAAUUGAAGAGUUUGAUCAUGGCUCAGAUUGAACGCUGGCGGCAGGCCUAACACAUGCAAGUCGAGCGGAAACGACUUAACUGAACCUUCGGGGAACGUUAAGGGCGUCGAGCGGCG